CACUUUUGAAAUGGUUUUGUGAGUAAUAUAUUAUUUGAUUGAAGUUUUCAUGCUAUUAUAUGUCAUUAAAUGACGUCAUACGGUUGCCAUAGCAACGGUAAGUGUUCAACUGUGACACCAUAUUCUUUCUUCAUGUGUCGCCAAUGUAUUCUGAAAAUUUCGUGGUAAUCGGGUGAAACGUCGAGGAGUUAUUACUUUAAAUGUUAAAAAAAGUGGCUCAAACCCAAGCAUUCUGUGGCCACAUUUUAACCCCACCAAUAAUUCAGGGGCCGUUUGUUCAAAGGUGGGUUUAGCGCUAACCCUGUGUUAAAAUUUAACCCACUGUUUUAGUUUGUGUAUUUCUGCACGUCUGUUUAUUUCAAAACUUCAGAGAAGUAAACUCCUAUCGAUCCAGACAAGAUCUCUCAAGAAAUAUUUCCAAAUUUAUAGACCGGCCAGCUGUCAGGAAGUUUACUUUGAAUUUUAAGUUAACCUAGGGUUAAGCUAACCCAGCUUUGAACAACCGGCCACAGAAGUAGAGGUGUCAAUUAUCCCCGAGCCAACGGCGCGAAGCGCCUUUCCGUG
This is a non-coding RNA of Paramuricea clavata, 564 nucleotides long. The record is from the annotation of a GenBank genome assembly. Lineage: Eukaryota; Metazoa; Cnidaria; Anthozoa; Malacalcyonacea; Plexauridae.